GGGAAGUCCCCCACCCGGAGCCCCGCCGAGGCCCAGAAGGUGUGGGCGAGCCCGCUGGCAGGAAAACGCGGCGGCCCGGCGGCCAGGCUUUCCUAGUCCCUGGAUGUGUCCGGGGAGGAACGUGGACUUUCUCUCCUUCCACAAGUAUUUAUUUAUUCAGCAGCUACUACGCCCUGGUCGGCCCUGAGGAGGGGCCGGACGUCGGGCUCCGGGCUGGACGGUGCCACGAGCCGCAGGCCUGGCAGGGCCCGGACACACAGCAUUUGUGCCCCCAGCCCCUCGGUCUGGGAGGGAGCCUCCCAGUCCCCACACUCUUCUCCAGCCAGGUCUACACCACCGUCGCCCAUUCAUAUUCUUCUGGGUUACUAAGAAGCUGCUUUUAGAGUAAAAAAAAAAAAACAAAAAAACGGAGGAAGACCCGGAGAUCAUUCACCUUUUGGUGUGAAUUCGCUUAAUCCGGCCGCCUAAUUUGUAAAGACUUCCCCACCCUGUGCGGGACGCAGCGCACAGCAAGGGCUUUCGGGGGUUUGGACCAAAGUCCGCCUCCCCUCCUGGGAGCACAGACCGGUCUUCCUCGUUUACACCCAGGAAACUAGGCUUCGCCCCCGCCUCCAGGGCCUGUGUUCAGCCCCACUCCAUUGAUCAGGAGGUGAUCACACAAGGCAAGCUUCUCCUGUUCCAGCUUCAUAACCAAGAAUGAUUGAAAAUAGGAGAAAGAAGUACUGUCAAAGAUAAUAUAGUACAAUGAAGUUGUACAGUGAAGCUCGAGAAUAUAAAUGUUAGCAGCGAUGGUGCUGUCCGAGCUGUGCCGGAGCAACCAAGGCAAAAGCGUCGUGCACGGAAUGACUGAGAACUUUGACCAGGUGCCGUGGACUCCUCAGAGGCAGUGACCCAGGACUGAGGCCCCAGAGCCACCUCCUGAGCAUCGUGGCCCCGGUGCCCCUCUCACGGGAGUUGCUGUCAGCCUUGAUGGUUGAAGCAGCCAUGGUAUCGAGAUUUCACUGGUAGAAACUAUUCCUUUUCUUCCCUGAAGAAGCAGGUCUCCUUCUACUUUGUUGGGGAGACCCCCUUUUUAAUAAACAAAAAUGAUGAGCUGUAAGUACAUAUUAAGGAUUAGGUUAUAUACAUGUAAAGAAUAAUCGUAAAGAUCAAGAAACAGAACAUGAUGAGACACGCAGGAGUGCCCUUCCCUCGUCACAGCCCCUCCCCACCGUGAGGUAGCUGUUCUCCUGAUUUUGUGUCAGUGACUUGUCCUCAUAGUUUACGCACAGGCACGCAUCCCUAAAUAAUGCAGCCCAGCUUUGCCUAGUUCCAAAAUCUGUAAGUGGGUUUAUGUGCAUGCUGCUUUAUUGCUCUUGAUGGCUCAGCAUUGUGUCCAUGAGAUUCUUUCAUCUUGUGAAUAUAGUUUUUUUAAAAUAAUAUUUAUAGUUUUACUAACUUUAAACAAAAAGUACGCCAUUGCUGUGGCAUAUUCCUUCAUAGGAGCGUGCAUGGUUCAUUUCUGCAUCCGCUUGUGAUGGCCUUCAGGUUCUUUCAGGUUUGGCUACUGUGGCUGCAGAGUCCAUGACCGUGUGUCCUGGUGCAGGGCCGAUGGGUUUGUGUUCAGCUGGAAGGAGCCCUGCGGGGCUGUGUGCACGGCCUUCGCUCUCUGAGGCCCGAUUGUUUCAGAAGUGGUUGCGUCCCCCCGCUGCGUACCAGGCUUUCCAUUGCCCCACAGCCUGCUGAUAUUUGAUACUAUGUCUUUCAUGUCUGCCAUUCUGGUAGGUGUAUGCGCUGUAUUUUUCUUAUGGUUUCAAUCCCUUGGUUGUUAGUGAAGUUGUGCAUCUUGUGGUAUUCAUGGACUAUUUCCUGUUGUUUUUUAAAAAGUUUUAAAAAUUGUGGUCAAAUACACAUAACAUAAAAUUUACUAUCUUAACC
Long non-coding RNA from Physeter macrocephalus (sperm whale), 1917 nucleotides. RefSeq lists it as uncharacterized. The record is from RefSeq and is a predicted model, not a curated record. The transcript has 4 exons. NCBI's taxonomy places the organism in Eukaryota, Metazoa, Chordata, Mammalia, Artiodactyla, Physeteridae.